This 313-nucleotide unclassified non-coding RNA is filed under the name plant metagenome. Its description in RNAcentral is "partial contains 5.8S ribosomal RNA, internal transcribed spacer 2, and large subunit ribosomal RNA". The stretch from base 1 to 105 matches the Rfam family "5.8S ribosomal RNA", at positions 50 to 154 of the family's 154-position model. The record is from RNAcentral.
GAAAUGCGAUACGUAGUGUGAAUUGCAGAAUUCAGUGAAUCAUCGAAUCUUUGAACGCACAUUGCGCCCUCUGGCAUUCCGGGGGGCAUGCCUGUCCGAGCGUCAUUACGCACCCUCAAGCCCGGCUUGUGUGAUGGGCCCCGGCGUCUCGUUCGCGAGACGGGCCCGAAAGGCAGCGGCGGCGUCGACCCGAUGAGCCCGAGCGUAUGGGGACUUCUGUCACACGUUCGCGGUGCGGACCGGCGCCUGCUUUGACUUUUCUGAUUAUCCAGGUUGACCUCGGAUCAGGUAGGGAUACCCGCUGAACUUAAGC